Molecule: ribosomal RNA, 440 nt
Filed under: uncultured bacterium
Lineage: Bacteria
Description: partial 16S ribosomal RNA
Rfam family: Bacterial small subunit ribosomal RNA
Source: RNAcentral
CCUACGGGGGGCAGCAGUAGGGAAUAUUGCUCAAUGGGGGAAACCCUGAAGCAGCAACGCCGCGUGGAGGAUGAAGGUUUUCGGAUUGUAAACUCCUUUUGUUAGAGAAGAUACUGACGGUAUCUAACGAAUAAGCACCGGCUAACUCCGUGCCAGCAGCCGCGGUAAUACGGAGGGUGCAAGCGUUACGCGGAAUCACUGGGCGUAAAGAGCGCGUAGGCGGGAUAGCAAGUCAGAUGUGAAAUCCUAUGGCUUAACCAUAGAACUGCAUUUGAAACUGUUAGUCUAGAGUAUGGGAGAGGUAGGUGGAAUUCUUGGUGUAGGGGUAAAAUCCGUAGAGAUCAAGAGGAAUACUCAUUGCGAAGGCGACCUGCUGGAACAUAACUGACGCUGAUGCGCGAAAGCGUGGGGAGCAAACAGGAUUAGAUACCCCUGUAGUC